GAUGAACGCUGGCGGCGUGCCUAAUACAUGCAAGUCGAGCGAACAGACGAGGAGCUUGCUCCUCUGACGUUAGCGGCGGACGGGUGAGUAACACGUGGAUAACCUACCUAUAAGACUGGGAUAACUUCGGGAAACCGGAGCUAAUACCGGAUAAUAUAUUGAACCGUAUGGUUCAAUAGUGAAAGACGGUUUUGCUGUCACUUAUAGAUGUAUCCGCGCCGCAUUAGCUAGUUGGUAAGGUAACGGCUUACCAAGGCAACGAUGCGUAGCCGACCUGAGAGGGUGAUCGGCCACACUGGAACUGAGACACGGUCCAGACUCCUACGGGAGGCAGCAGUAGGGAAUCUUGCGCAAAGGGCGAAAGCCUGACGGAGCAACGCCGCGUGAGUGAUGAAGGUCUUCGGAUCGUAAAACUCUGUUAUUAGGGAAGAACAAAUGUGUAAGUAACUAUGCACGUCUUGACGGUACCUAAUCAGAAAGCAACGGCUAACUACGUG
RNAcentral lists this ribosomal RNA (497 nucleotides) under uncultured bacterium. RNAcentral's name for it is "partial 16S ribosomal RNA". It matches the Rfam family "Bacterial small subunit ribosomal RNA", at positions 28 to 507 of the family's 1533-position model. The record is from RNAcentral.